Molecule: unclassified non-coding RNA, 2221 nt
Filed under: Leguminivora glycinivorella
Lineage: Eukaryota; Metazoa; Arthropoda; Insecta; Lepidoptera; Tortricidae
Description: transmembrane protein 185A, transcript variant X1
Source: RNAcentral
AACCCAAGAGAGAGUGAGAGGAAAAGUCAAAAAAGUAGAAUGGAAUAGUGGAUCAGUGGAGCAAAGCAAGCAGCGAUUGUCGAUAUUUUUCAUGAAAACAUACAGUUCGUGCAGUGGAAGACAUGUUAGAGAAUUAUAGCCGGACGAAUGUGUACAGAAAUGAAUUUACAAACGCUUUUUCAGGAUUUUAAUCCUAGCAAAUUCGUGGUACACAGUUGUUUGUUGGUAUUUACGGCGUUGUUAGCUUUGAAACUUGACGGCGCUAUAACAUGGUCGUAUUGGGCCGUAUUUACCCCGAUAUGGGUUUGGAAAUUCCUCGUAGUGCUUGGUGCAACAGUUGGCACUUACGUUUGGUGGCAGUACCCUCACUUCAGAUUAGAAGGAGAGGCGUACAUUCACUACAAGGCCAUGCUGAUCAGUCUUGCCAUCCACCUGAUCCUUCUCAUGUUUGAACUACUUGUCUGCGAUCAACUGUCACUGAAACGCCAUGUGUGGAUACUAGUCUUCAUACCCAUAAUUUUUAUAAGUAUAGUAUCCAUUGCCAUUUGCAUAUGGUGUGUACGACAUGACCGCAGUUAUGAGUUGGAGUUGUUUUGUGCUGUCAACAUUCUGCAGUUUAUUUUCCUGGCGCUGAAACUAGACGAGUUCAUCAACUGGUCCUGGGAAGUUGUGUUUGUGCCGCUCUGGAUUCUGAUGUGCCUGAGCCUUGUUGGGGUGCUGUACAGCAUAAUUUUCGCGGGCAUGCUGCUUCGCACGGCGGAGGCCAAUGUGCAGCAACGCCGCAGCAGCUUCCACGCCGCGCUGGCGUACACUUUCACUGUUAUACCGAUCCUGGUGUUCCUGGUGUUACUGACUAACAAAUUGGACGAUGGUAUGCAGCUGUCGUACACGGUGGUCGCUAGCCCGCUCUUUGUGGGUUUUGCUACACUGAUCGUCAUGUCCUUCAGCUCGAAGGGUGGUAACAAAUGGUGGUUCGGCAUCAGAAAAGACUUCUGCCAGUUCCUCCUGUCCGUGUUUCCGCUCCUCCAAGAGUACGCCAACAUCGCCUACAACAACAACAUCAACCGGGGCUCCAACGUGGUCCCCACCGAGCCUCCGGUCACUCAAGAACCUUACCGAGACGAAGACACAAAGAAAGUUAAAGAGAGUAAAAAUCAUAAGAAUCAAAAGAAGAAUGAAGCGAUGAAACCUGUAGUGCCUGUGACUAGUAUAGAUAUGCCUGAUUGACGCUUUAAAUAGGAAGUGAAGUGCUCAUUUGUUGUGUCCUCUUCGGGCAUUGGUGUUGCUGUUCAGUUUUCAAGGUGCAGAUGUUAUGGGGCUUCAAAUAAAAUCAUAAGAAAACUGAAUGAAGACACUUCAUCUUAAGUGUUUUACUGUAAGCAAUGUUUAACAUAUUGUUAAGUUUGGUGUUAAUUUAACUUUAAGCUUUGUUAUAGGGAAUAGUUUAACAAAAUGUUUUUUUUUCUAUGAAUCUUUUCACCUCAAAUGUCAAUGUAGGUUUUUGAGGUUCAAUCUCAAGUUAUGUAAAGUAAUAUUGUUUGUGGCCUGUACACGUCUCUUUUUCUUUCAAAUGAUUUUCGAUAAAAUAGUUCUAACCACACACACUACAUUAAAUUGACUUCAUUGAGUGAGUGCACCAAUGAGAUAUUAUAUUUCCUAAUAUGCACCAAUAACAUCAGCAGAAAGCUGGCCCAUAUUUAGACUCCUAGGGCUCCUGGACACUUUAUAAAGCAUUUAAAAUUUAAUGUGCUUCACGGUCACUAAAGCCCGGGCCUGGACCUAGCCUUGAAGGAAAUGCUGGAAAUAUGGCCCGGGCAAAUAUAUGGGGAGAGAUAUACUGUUUUCUAAAAAAAUUUUGUGUUAUUUCGUUAACACGCUUAUAGGUGCCUGAAAUAAACGAGAACGCUCUGCCAUCCAUCCACACAUUUUAUUUAAAAAAUGAAGAAAGCUUAAUUGUACAAAUUGACUUUGUGUAAAAAGUUAUUGUAGAAAUAGUGUAGACGGGACUAGACGGGAAUUGUGAUUAAUUCAAUGUUAACACAUAAGUUUAGUUGAAAUCUUGUUGUAGUUAUUUAAUGGGGCUAUGGCUAAUGUGUAUUUCGAUUUAUCAUAACGGUACCUCAUUAUAAACACUGACAUAAGUGAGUCUUUGCUAUAGUUUUCACAACUUAUAUUUAUGGCCUUCCAUUUUGGUUUUAUGAUUAAAAACUGAAAUAGACAA